This 1346-nucleotide ribosomal RNA is filed under the name uncultured bacterium. Its description in RNAcentral is "partial 16S ribosomal RNA". It matches the Rfam family "Bacterial small subunit ribosomal RNA", at positions 28 to 1381 of the family's 1533-position model. The record is from RNAcentral.
GACGAACGCUGGCGGCGUGCUUAACACAUGCAAGUCGAACGGAAAGGCCCUGCUUUUGUGGGGUGCUCGAGUGGCGAACGGGUGAGUAACACGUGAGUAACCUGCCCUUGACUUUGGGAUAACUUCAGGAAACUGGGGCUAAUACCGGAUAGGAGCUCCUGCUGCAUGGUGGGGGUUGGAAAGUUUCGGCGGUUGGGGAUGGACUCGCGGCUUAUCAGCUUGUUGGUGGGGUAGUGGCUUACCAAGGCUUUGACGGGUAGCCGGCCUGAGAGGGUGACCGGCCACAUUGGGACUGAGAUACGGCCCAGACUCCUACGGGAGGCAGCAGUGGGGAAUAUUGCACAAUGGGCGGAAGCCUGAUGCAGCAACGCCGCGUGCGGGAUGACGGCCUUCGGGUUGUAAACCGCUUUCGCCUGUGACGAAGCGUGAGUGACGGUAAUGGGUAAAGAAGCACCGGCUAACUACGUGCCAGCAGCCGCGGUGAUACGUAGGGUGCGAGCGUUGUCCGGAUUUAUUGGGCGUAAAGGGCUCGUAGGUGGUUGAUCGCGUCGGAAGUGUAAUCUUGGGGCUUAACCCUGAGCGUGCUUUCGAUACGGGUUGACUUGAGGAAGGUAGGGGAGAAUGGAAUUCCUGGUGGAGCGGUGGAAUGCGCAGAUAUCAGGAGGAACACCAGUGGCGAAGGCGGUUCUCUGGGCCUUUCCUGACGCUGAGGAGCGAAAGCGUGGGGAGCGAACAGGCUUAGAUACCCUGGUAGUCCACGCUGUAAACGGUGGGUACUAGGUGUGGGGUCCAUUCCACGGGUUCCGUGCCGUAGCUAACGCUUUAAGUACCCCGCCUGGGGAGUACGGCCGCAAGGCUAAAACUCAAAGGAAUUGACGGGGCCCCGCACAAGCGGCGGAGCAUGCGGAUUAAUUCGAUGCAACGCGUAGAACCUUACCUGGGUUUGACAUGGGUCGGGAGUGCUCAGAGAUGGGUGUGCCUCUUUUGGGGUCGGUUCACAGGUGGUGCAUGGCUGUCGUCAGCUCGUGUCGUGAGAUGUUGGGUUAAGUCCCGCAACGAGCGCAACCCUUGUUCACUGUUGCCAGCACGUUAUGGUGGGGACUCAGUGGAGACCGCCGGGGUCAACUCGGAGGAAGGUGGGGAUGACGUCAAGUCAUCAUGCCCCUUAUGUCCAGGGCUUCACGCAUGCUACAAUGGCUGGUACAGAGAGUGGCGAGCCUGUGAGGGUGAGCGAAUCUCGGAAAGCCGGUCUCAGUUCGGAUUGGGGUCUGCAACUCGACCUCAUGAAGUCGGAGUCGCUAGUAAUCGCAGAUCAGCAACGCUGCGGUGAAAACGUUCCCGGGGCU